GCCGGGCGUUGUGGCGGGUGCCUGUGGUCCCAGCUACUUGGGAGGCGGAGGCAGGAGACUCGCUUGAGCCCAGGAGUUGGAGGUUGCUGUGAGCUGUGAUGUCAUGGCACUCUACCCAAGGGGGAUAGCUUGAGGCGCCUGUCUCAAAAAAAAAAAGACUUUACCCUUCUAACACCCCUCACCAUCUAAUGCCUCUUUUUUUUUUUUUUUUGAGACAGAGCCUCAAGCUAUCCCCCUGGGUAGAGUGCCGUUGCAUCACAGCUCACAGCAACCUCCAACUCCUGGGCUCAAGCGAGUCUCCUGCCUCUG
Molecule: non-coding RNA, 309 nt
Organism: Otolemur garnettii (small-eared galago)
Lineage: Eukaryota; Metazoa; Chordata; Mammalia; Primates; Galagidae
Source: Rfam